This is a long non-coding RNA of Salmo salar (Atlantic salmon), 540 nucleotides long. RefSeq lists it as uncharacterized. The record is from RefSeq and is a predicted model, not a curated record. NCBI's taxonomy places the organism in Eukaryota, Metazoa, Chordata, Actinopteri, Salmoniformes, Salmonidae.
CAAAAUGGAGGAAGUGAAAGAGAAAGUGAACGAGACUACGACCAAAAGGGAAAAGCAGCAUUCACAGAACUCCCUUUCAGUCAUUGCAAAGUUCUCUCAAUUGAGAUGAGAAAAUAUACAAUAAAAUUGUUGGCCGUGCUUAGUUCCCAGAGGAGCUGGGAGUACUGGUGACCAGGGGCCAUAAUGAGUCCAGUGGGGACCAGUGUUCACUGGUAUGAAUGGUUCUGGGACUUACCUGACUGCACCCGGGAGCUGUGGUUGCCGGUGGACACUGGUUGGCAGUAGAGGAUCACUAUGCAGAGCAGGAGGAGGCCCCAGUGUACUGACCACGCCAUCUCACAGCUUAUAACCUUCAUCCGGUCAGCCAAGCAACCACAGAGACAUAUGUUGUUAGUGAGAAGAUAUGACACAGCUAUCGCACAGUAAUGGGGUCUGAAAACUCUGUUUGAAGUUAGAACAUUCAGUAUGAGAUCAAAACACAAACUGUGCUUAGCCUACUCCAAAUAUUUGAUUUCUUAAAAAAUAAAAAUAGUAUCUACA